Molecule: transfer RNA, 97 nt
Filed under: Peptoniphilus harei
Lineage: Bacteria; Bacillati; Bacillota; Tissierellia; Tissierellales; Peptoniphilaceae
Description: tRNA-Ser
Source: RNAcentral
GCAGUUUUUUUAAGAGUAGCUAUUUCAAGCCUUUCAGAGUCUUGGAAACUGACUCUUAAUCAGUGGGCCAACGGUUCGAGUCCGUUAAGGUGCACCA